This 253-nucleotide ribosomal RNA is filed under the name uncultured bacterium. RNAcentral's name for it is "partial 16S ribosomal RNA". It matches the Rfam family "Bacterial small subunit ribosomal RNA", at positions 524 to 776 of the family's 1533-position model. The record is from RNAcentral.
UACGUAGGGUGCAAGCGUUGUCCGGAAUUAUUGGGCGUAAAGAGCUCGUAGGCGGUUUGUCGCGUCUGCUGUGAAAACUCGGGGCUCAACUCCGAGCUUGCAGUGGGUACGGGCAGACUAGAGUGCGGUAGGGGAGACUGGAAUUCCAGGUGUAGCGGUGAAAUGCGCAGAUAUCAGGAAGAACACCCGUGGCUAAGGCGGUUCUCUAGUACGGUACUGACGCUGGGACGCGAAAGCGUGGGGAGCGAACAGG